RNAcentral lists this ribosomal RNA (254 nucleotides) under uncultured bacterium. RNAcentral's name for it is "partial 16S ribosomal RNA". It matches the Rfam family "Bacterial small subunit ribosomal RNA", at positions 524 to 776 of the family's 1533-position model. The record is from RNAcentral.
UACGUAGGGUGCGAGCGUUGUCCGGAAUUAUUGGGCGUAAAGAGCUCGUAGGCGGUGUGUCACGUCGGCCGUGAAAACCUGCAGCUUAACUGUGGGCGUGCGGUCGAUACGGGCAUCACUGGAGUUCGGCAGGGGAGACUGGAAUUCCUGGUGGAGCGGUGAAAUGCGCAGAUAUCAGGAGGAACACCGGUGGCGAAGGCGGGUCUCUGGGCCGAUACUGACGCUGAGGAGCGAAAGCGUGGGGAGCAAACAGG